AAAGAAAAGGUUUUUUUUUUUUAAGGCUCAAAAGGGUUAACUAUGGAAAUUUCACAAAAUGGAUGGCUAGAAAGGCUCAAACGGGUCAAAGAUGGCCUUUUCAUCGUCUUUUAGGACUCUAAAUAAUUUUCUAUAUCUACUAGUUAGCUGGACCUUCAAAUGUAGCAACACACUUCUUCUUCUUUUUCUUUUAUUAUUAUUUUUUUAUUUUAAUUUUUUUAAAAAAGGGUUGACUCAAAAGAAAUCUAGAGAUCGUGUAUACAAU
Molecule: long non-coding RNA, 265 nt
Filed under: Citrus sinensis (sweet orange)
Lineage: Eukaryota; Viridiplantae; Streptophyta; Magnoliopsida; Sapindales; Rutaceae
Description: long non-coding RNA (CSIN_LNC002087)
Source: RNAcentral